UCCCUGGUGGCUCAGAGGGUAAAGCGUCUGCCUGCAAUGCGGGAGACCCAGGUUUGAUCCCUGGGUUGAGAA
Molecule: transfer RNA, 72 nt
Filed under: Bison bison bison
Lineage: Eukaryota; Metazoa; Chordata; Mammalia; Artiodactyla; Bovidae
Rfam family: tRNA
About the family: Transfer RNA (tRNA) molecules are approximately 80 nucleotides in length. Their secondary structure includes four short double-helical elements and three loops (D, anti-codon, and T loops).
Source: Rfam by way of RNAcentral